UGAUACCCUAUUAUUAAAAAUGUAAAUUUUAAAUUUAUAGUAUUAUAAGUUAUGAUCUUUAAAUUAAAAGGAUUUGACGGUAAUUUGAUCAUUUUAGAGGAACCUGUCCUGUAAUUGAUAUUCCACGAUAAAUUUAACCUCAAUUAUAUUGUUUGUAUAUCUCUGUCUGCUGAGUGUUUUAUUAGAAAGAUUCUCUUACAUUUUAUAAUAAAUUUUAAAAUAUAUGUCAGGUCAAGGUGCAGCUAUAUUGAGGGUUGAGAUGGGUUACACUAAUAUAUAAUUUUGGAUUGAAUAAUGAAUUUUAUUCAUGAAAUAGGAUUUAAUUGUAAUGCUUAUUAUAU
RNAcentral lists this ribosomal RNA (341 nucleotides) under Thyreocoris scarabaeoides. RNAcentral's name for it is "partial 12S ribosomal RNA". Lineage: Eukaryota; Metazoa; Arthropoda; Insecta; Hemiptera; Thyreocoridae. The record is from RNAcentral.